AUACUUAAAUGGCAGGGGAAAUACCACAAUCAAGAGGGUGAUUUCGCCAGGAUGAAGCUCUUCCAUUGUAAUCUUUGGUUGGGUGGACUUCUGUGAUUUCCCCAAAUGUGGGAAACUCAACUGCAUAAUUUAUGAUAGUGGGGGACCACGUUCAUGUGGUCUUCUA
Molecule: small nuclear RNA, 166 nt
Organism: Protopterus annectens (West African lungfish)
Lineage: Eukaryota; Metazoa; Chordata; Ceratodontiformes; Protopteridae
Product: U1 spliceosomal RNA
Exons: 1
Source: RefSeq, a predicted model, not a curated record